AAAUAAGGUAGUCUUGCAAUAUUACUAAUUAAAAAGCAAUCUAUCAACUAAUAAAUCGAACUAUGUAAAUAAGGUCUAAUCUGUCUGUAUCAUUUAUUGCAACUUCACCUCAUCUCUUUCAUCUCCCAUGUAUACUUAUUACCGUGAUAAUUUGAUGAGUUAAAAGACUCUGAAUGGAUAAACUGAUUAACACAGAUAUUAAGCUGUAGAGUAAAGACAUUUUGAUAUUCGAAAAUUAGGUCCAUAUUUGGUGAUCAGGUUUGAAAUGAUUUUUACAAAAU
Molecule: long non-coding RNA, 281 nt
Filed under: Ananas comosus (pineapple)
Lineage: Eukaryota; Viridiplantae; Streptophyta; Magnoliopsida; Poales; Bromeliaceae
Description: long non-coding RNA (ACOM_LNC017301)
Source: RNAcentral